CACAGGGGAGCUUGCUCCCCGGGUGACGAGCGGCGGACGGGUGAGUAAUGUCUGGGAAACUGCCUGAUGGAGGGGGAUAACUACUGGAAACGGUAGCUAAUACCGCAUAACGUCGCAAGACCAGAGAGGGGGACCUUCGGGCCUCUUGCCAUCAGAUGUGCCCAGAUGGGAUUAGCUAGUAGGUGGGGUAAUGGCUCACCUAGGCGACGAUCCCUAGCUGGUCUGAGAGGAUGACCAGCCACACUGGAACUGAGACACGGUCCAGACUCCUACGGGAGGCAGCAGUGGGGAAUAUUGCACAAUGGGCGCAAGCCUGAUGCAGCCAUGCCGCGUGUGUGAAGAAGGCCUUCGGAUUGUAAAGCACUUUCAGCGAGGAGGAAGGUGGUGAACUUAAUACGCUCAUCAAUUGACGUUACUCGCAGAAGAAGCACCGGCUAACUCCGUGCCAGCAGCCGCGGUAAUACGGAGGGUGCAAGCGUUAAUCGGAAUUACUGGGCGUAAAGCGCACGCAGGCGGUUUGUUAAGUCAGAUGUGAAAUCCCCGGGCUCAACCUGGGAACUGCAUUUGAAACUGGCAAGCUAGAGUCUCGUAGAGGGGGGUAGAAUUCCAGGUGUAGCGGUGAAAUGCGUAGAGAUCUGGAGGAAUACCGGUGGCGAAGGCGGCCCCCUGGACGAAGACUGACGCUCAGGUGGCGAAGCGUGGGGAGCAAACAGGAUUAGAUACCCU
Molecule: ribosomal RNA, 726 nt
Filed under: Serratia marcescens
Lineage: Bacteria; Pseudomonadati; Pseudomonadota; Gammaproteobacteria; Enterobacterales; Yersiniaceae
Description: bacterial SSU rRNA
Rfam family: Bacterial small subunit ribosomal RNA
Source: RNAcentral